UCCGUAGACUGUAUUGUAAGUUAUUUGUUAAAUCCUAAAGCCUAACUUUAGAAAAGCAUUUAAUACUACUAUACUUGAGUUUUUUGUCAGAAGAGUAGAAUUUCAUGUCGAGGAGUAACGACUGCAGACACAUGAAGGAAUAUCAGCAGCGAAGGCGGCUCCUUGGUAAAAACUGACGUUGAGGGACGAAAGUGUAGGUAGCAAACA
RNAcentral lists this ribosomal RNA (207 nucleotides) under uncultured bacterium. RNAcentral describes it as "partial 16S ribosomal RNA". It matches the Rfam family "Bacterial small subunit ribosomal RNA", at positions 568 to 774 of the family's 1533-position model. The record is from RNAcentral.